CGUGAAACUGCGAAUGGCUCAUUAAAUCAGUUAUCGUUUAUUUGAUAGUACCUUACUACUUGGAUAACCGUGGUAAUUCUAGAGCUAAUACAUGCUGAAAACCCCAACUUCGGAAGGGGUGUAUUUAUUAGAUAAAAAACCAAUGCCCUUCGGGGCUUCUUGGUGAUUCAUAAUAACUUCUCAGAUCGCAUGGCCUUGCGCCGGCGACGGUUCAUUCAAAUUUCUGCCCUAUCAACUUUCGAUGGUAAGGUAUUGGCUUACCAUGGUUUCAACGGGUAACGGGGAAUUAGGGUUCGAUUCCGGAGAGGGAGCCUGAGAAACGGCUACCACAUCCAAGGAAGGCAGCAGGCGCGCAAAUUACCCAAUCCCGACACGGGGAGGUAGUGACAAUAAAUACUGAUACAGGGCUCUUUUGGGUCUUGUAAUUGGAAUGAGUACAAUUUAAACCUCUUAACGAGGAACAAUUGGAGGGCAAGUCUGGUGCCAGCAGCCGCGGUAAUUCCAGCUCCAAUAGCGUAUAUUAAAGUUGUUGCAGUUAAAAAGCUCGUAGUUGAACCUUUGGCCUGGCUGGCAGGUCCGCCUCACCGCGUGUACUUGUCCGGCCGGGCCUUCUUUUCUGGAGAACCGCAUGCCCUUCACUGGGUGUGUUGGGGACCAGGACUUUUACUUUGAAAAAAUUAGAGUGUUCAAAGCAGGCCUUUGCUCGAAUACGUUAGCAUGGAAUAAUAGAAUAGGACGUGCGGUCCUAUUUUGUUGGUUUCUAGGACCGCCGUAAUGAUUAAUAGGGACAGUCGGGGGCAUCAGUAUUCAAUUGUCAGAGGUGAAAUUCUUGGAUUUAUUGAAGACUAACUACUGCGAAAGCAUUUGCCAAGGAUGUUUUCAUUAAUCAGUGAACGAAAGUUAGGGGAUCGAAGACGAUCAGAUACCGUCGUAGUCUUAACCAUAAACUAUGCCGACUAGGGAUCGGGCGGUGUUUCUAUUUUGACUCGCUCGGCACCUUACGAGAAAUCAAAGUGU
Molecule: ribosomal RNA, 1017 nt
Filed under: Leucaenicola aseptata
Lineage: Eukaryota; Fungi; Ascomycota; Dothideomycetes; Pleosporales; Bambusicolaceae
Description: SSU rRNA
Rfam family: Eukaryotic small subunit ribosomal RNA
Source: RNAcentral